RNAcentral lists this non-coding RNA (148 nucleotides) under Homo sapiens (human). The record is from Rfam by way of RNAcentral. Lineage: Eukaryota; Metazoa; Chordata; Mammalia; Primates; Hominidae.
GUUGGGCAUGGUGGCGCACGCCUGUAAUCCCAGCUACUCGGGAGACUGAGGUGGGAGAAUUGCUUGAACCCAGGAGACAGAGGUUGCAGUGAGCCGAGAUCUUACCACUGCACUCCAGCCUGGGUGACAGAGCGAGACUCCAUCUCAA